Molecule: long non-coding RNA, 1534 nt
Organism: Dioscorea cayenensis subsp. rotundata (Guinea yam)
Lineage: Eukaryota; Viridiplantae; Streptophyta; Magnoliopsida; Dioscoreales; Dioscoreaceae
Exons: 4
Source: RefSeq, a predicted model, not a curated record
AACAAAUGAACAAUACUCAUUCAGUGACUUUCAAUCAGAUUCGAUGGUCUUGGAAACCCAAACACUAACCUUAACUUUCUCUUCGAGUUUUGAUGUUUCAUGGCCAAUGGAUAAUAAGAUCACGGCCACUCUCCAUCUCCCCCACCUUCGCUUUCUAUUUUCUCUCAUUUCUCUUUUGUGUGGGGACGGCUCUUCGUAGAUCGGUAUAGUUCCUUCGCCAUGCUCGCGUAGUAGUAACCCUUCAUCAUCCCCAUCUCCGCACAAUCAAACCAAUCACACCUUUCGGAGCCUCUCUGGCGUCGUCUACACCCUCCACCACCGUCUUUACCUUUGACUCCUCUCCCCUAGCAAACCGGCCCGCCGCCACCACCGCCGCCGCAGCGACAUCGUUAGCUCUCGUCGCCAUCUCCGCCAUUGCCCAGAAACUGAGUCGGGGAACUUCAACAGCAGUGUUGCUGAGAAUUAUUAGGUUUGCAUCAGUAAAUUAAAGAAUGACUUUUGUUAUAUUUUUGACCUGUAAAUUGCAUAUGAAAUGAUGAUUUUUGCAUAUAAUAUACAUAGUUAUUUGUUUUUAAUAUCAUUUAUUCCUAUUUACAUAAAGUGCUUGAUUUCUUGUACAUAUUUCCUGAAUGUUGUUUGCUUAUUAAACCUUAUAAACUCUGCUUAGUUAAUCAGCAAUAAUCACAUAGUUUUUUAUUUGAUUAGAUUUUGGAUAAAAAAGGGGUCAAGAUGGGUGGGACGUGAUUAAAGAGGGGGAGACAUAGUUUGGACCCAUGGAUUAUGUGUAUAGGUACCCUUGCAUAUAUAUUGAUCUAUCAAAUCUGGAGCUCAUUAAUGGCAGACAAUUAUAUAGUGCCAUACAACUUAAGUAGCAUAACAUAAACUCACAUGAAAAUCUAUGGUUGAUGGACACCUAGAUCUUCUUUUGCUUCACGCUUUUCUCUUGUAAUGGGAUGGGCUAGCACCAGGUUGUAAUUGGACGCAAAUACUGGUUUUUUUUCUAAAAUUCAAAUUCUAGGUCCAGUUUAGCAGUGCUAGCAUGUCCAUGUGUGGUUAAUCUAAUUCUUAAUCUUCUCUAGCUAUCUUCAACAAAAUCUUGAGAUUUCCAUGUGUGGCAGCGCACAAUCCAGUGUUCAUAAAUUAAACAUUCAUCAAGAGAAAUUAGCUAACUUUUAUUUCUAGCUAUGUGCAACCACCUGGAAACCAAAAUUUGUUGUUUCAUACCACAAAUAAACCGGCAAGACAGGCUGGGGGGCUUACCGGCAAAAAUUAUUGAGGCAAUGGAACCACAUCAAAAUUCCAAAUUUCAGUUGCUGGUAUGAUCAAUGAAGGCACCAUCUUUGCUUCAUUCUCAAUUGAUUCUAAUCAGAACAACACUAGAAGAACUGUGAAAAUAGAUGCUAAUGCUGAUGAUUCUUGUGUUGGAGCAAAGGAGAAUGUACAUGUAAAGGAAGAGUCUAACCACUGUGUAGCAAUUGAAGAAAGAGUUCAGCUAUAACAAAAUACUGAAGGAUCUCAAGAAAGAUUUUUUUUA